This 268-nucleotide ribosomal RNA is filed under the name uncultured bacterium. RNAcentral describes it as "partial 16S ribosomal RNA". It matches the Rfam family "Bacterial small subunit ribosomal RNA", at positions 88 to 354 of the family's 1533-position model. The record is from RNAcentral.
AUGGCGACCGGCGCACGGGUGAGUAACGCGUAUCCAACCUGCCCUUUACUAUGGGACAGCCCGUCGAAAGGCGGAUUAAUACCGUAUGUUGUCAUGUUGAUGCAUAUUUUCAUGACCAAAGGCUUCGGCCGGUAAAGGAUGGGGAUGCGUCUGAUUAGCUUGCCGGCGGGGUAACGGCCCACCGGGGCGACGAUCAGUAGGGGUUCUGAGAGGAAGGUCCCCCAUAUUGGAACUGAGACACGGUCCAAACUCCUACGGAAGGCAGCAG